This 488-nucleotide ribosomal RNA is filed under the name Escherichia coli. Its description in RNAcentral is "partial 23S ribosomal RNA". It matches the Rfam family "Bacterial large subunit ribosomal RNA", at positions 1256 to 1746 of the family's 2925-position model. Lineage: Bacteria; Pseudomonadati; Pseudomonadota; Gammaproteobacteria; Enterobacterales; Enterobacteriaceae. The record is from RNAcentral.
GUGUGCUGUGAGGCAUGCUGGAGGUAUCAGAAGUGCGAAUGCUGACAUAAGUAACGAUAAAGCGGGUGAAAAGCCCGCUCGCCGGAAGACCAAGGGUUCCUGUCCAACGUUAAUCGGGGCAGGGUGAGUCGACCCCUAAGGCGAGGCCGAAAGGCGUAGUCGAUGGGAAACAGGUUAAUAUUCCUGUACUUGGUGUUACUGCGAAGGGGGGACGGAGAAGGCUAUGUUGGCCGGGCGACGGUUGUCCCGGUUUAAGCGUGUAGGCUGGUUUUCCAGGCAAAUCCGGAAAAUCAAGGCUGAGGCGUGAUGACGAGGCACUACGGUGCUGAAGCAACAAAUGCCCUGCUUCCAGGAAAAGCCUCUAAGCAUCAGGUAACAUCAAAUCGUACCCCAAACCGACACAGGUGGUCAGGUAGAGAAUACCAAGGCGCUUGAGAGAACUCGGGUGAAGGAACUAGGCAAAAUGGUGCCGUAACUUCGGGAGAAGG